RNAcentral lists this ribosomal RNA (282 nucleotides) under uncultured bacterium. Its description in RNAcentral is "partial 16S ribosomal RNA". It matches the Rfam family "Bacterial small subunit ribosomal RNA", at positions 28 to 303 of the family's 1533-position model. The record is from RNAcentral.
GAUGAACGCUAGCGGCAGGCUUAAUACAUGCAAGUCGAACGGUAACAGGUCUGUAGCAAUACAGAUGCUGACGAGUGGCAGACGGGUGAGGAACACGUACACAACUUCCCUUUAUCUGGUGAACAGCCCCGAGAAAUCGGGAUUAAUACACCAUAGCAUCUUGGAGUGACAUCACUUUGAGAUUAAAGCUCAGGCGGAUAGAGAUGGGUGGCGUCUGAUUAGCUAGUUGGUUGAGGUAACGGCUCACCAAGGCGACGAUCAGUAACUGGUGUGAGAGCACGA